Molecule: long non-coding RNA, 1300 nt
Filed under: Dromaius novaehollandiae (emu)
Lineage: Eukaryota; Metazoa; Chordata; Aves; Casuariiformes; Dromaiidae
Description: lncRNA (ENSDNVG00000018610.1)
Source: RNAcentral
CCCAUUAGUUGCUUGGAGAACUAUUAAAGAACACAUAUGCAAGGGAAGAAUGGUAUAGAGACUUUGCACUCUUUGUUCAAGAGAAACGCAGGACAAGCAAACUCCUUGCUAUGGGCAGGACUGAUGCUCCGAAUCUCAGAAGAAAGGCUUUAAUACCAGUGGUUAAAGUGGAAUUGACAAAUUAGCAUCAGUCCACAGAACGUAAGAAAAUUACUCUGAAUAUUGCAGCCCUUCAGCAUUUGGAAUUUCCAUUGCUUGCAGGUCUGCUUUGCAAAGGAAAAAAUCUUACUUCGUAGGCUUUCGAGGAAUGUUCCUCUUUGAAGAAAUAAUUCAAACCCAUCAGUUUGUUCUGGAGCGUUAUUAGAGACCUUCACCGCUGCACUCUGGCCGUUUGUACCCUUCUGCAGAGAGUGAACUAGUGCCAUGUUUCCUGUGGAUUUCAUGACUGCAUUAUCCAGGCAGUAUUAAAAUCUGUUCAUGCCAAGUCUUUGGAACACCAACCUGUUGUGGACGCAGUGUCAUGUUUCAUGGGACCUGGUUACAUUACGGAAAAAGAUGUUUGCAUCGUAGACUACUUAGCUCUUCUUUGAAACACUGAACUUUCUGACAAGCAGUAGGAGGUAAAAAGGGAAAAAAAAAUACUACAAAUCUCCAGGCUUUUGAAUAAAACAUCAGGGAAUGCAAUAAACACGCCCAGGGACUCCUCCAGAUGUCCUAGCGUUGGGCAGGGAAGCAGAGUCUUCACCAGCUCUGGGCUCUUCCAAGRCAGACUGGCAGGAUUAAGUGCCAAGAGUCCAAAUGAAUUUGGUCUGCACAUUUCAAGAAGCACUUAUGUUUUCUGGCAUUGCUAGUGUGGAAACAAAGAAAUGACAAGGAUUGUGUGGAGGUAAGAGAUCGUCAGAUGAAAAAUGAUUUCGUCAACACGUAAGCCUGCAAGGGACUGCCUAAUCCACCCGCCUGCACAGAAGCAGCAUCAGGUGUAGUUGCACUAUCCUACAAUUUUUAUUUUUGAAGAUCWUCUCUGCAAACUACCUAAGGAGUCUGUUCUCCUGCCCUUUUAACYAGAAAAACAACUAUUUUAUGUCCAACCAGCAAAAGUCCCCCUGUCUUAGAAAUAAUGGAAUGUAAUGUCACUGUGGAGUAAAAUUAUUUGAAGUCUUUGGAAUUUAUGUAUUCAGUUGUUAAAAACUGCAUGUCUAAUCCUCGGAAAUAGUAGAUGAGUGCUUGAUAAAUUUAAAUAAGUCAAUAACAAAUAUUAAUAGGAAACAGUAAGAACUGAUUUUACCCCCAAAUGCAUGCU